This 274-nucleotide ribosomal RNA is filed under the name uncultured bacterium. Its description in RNAcentral is "partial 16S ribosomal RNA". It matches the Rfam family "Bacterial small subunit ribosomal RNA", at positions 523 to 796 of the family's 1533-position model. The record is from RNAcentral.
AUACGGAGGGUGCGAGCGUUAAUCGGAAUUACUGGGCGUAAAGCGUACGUAGGCGGUUGGUUAAGUUAGAUGUGAAAGCCCCGGGCUUAACCUGGGAACUGCAUUUAAAACUGGCGAACUAGAGUUGAGUAGAGGGGAGUGGAAUUUCAGGUGUAGCGGUGAAAUGCGUAGAGAUCUGAAGGAACACCAGUGGCGAAGGCGACUCCCUGGACUCGAACUGACGCUGAGGUACGAAAGCGUGGGGAGCAAACAGGAUUAGAUACCCCAGUAGUCC